Molecule: long non-coding RNA, 201 nt
Filed under: Solanum tuberosum (potato)
Lineage: Eukaryota; Viridiplantae; Streptophyta; Magnoliopsida; Solanales; Solanaceae
Description: long non-coding RNA (STUB_LNC001697)
Source: RNAcentral
UCUAUUCUCCUAUUCCACCAUGUAUAAAGACUACCUGUGAAUUUGAUCUCUAUCAUAUUACAAGAACUUAUACAUUGAGAAAAAUCCAGUGUCUCAUGAUGAGUUAUUGAUAGUCCUCCCCAAUUCUCCUUUUCAUUGAGUGUCACACUAAAGUCUCCACCAACAACCCAUGAAAAACUCAUAUCUUCUGCCAUAACUUCG